GUGUAGUCAUUGCCGAACAUGGACACAAGAACAAGGACUCCAAAGCAAUGAUGAAGCUAUGCAAAUGCGCAGUUCUAAGCUCAGGGAUGCUCAAGUGUCCAAAGAAGUUUGAGCCACAAACCAAAUCCGAGUACAAAGCUAUCAUUGCAUGCCUAUGCAAGAAUUUUCCUAAAGCGAUGACUCCCAAAGCCUGCAAACGUCUCCCUCCACCUCCUCCUAUGUCCUAAGUCCCGCACAGUAAAACAAAAUGCAGUGUUAAUCCAACACUUAGAGAGUGCUCCGGGACCAAAUACACUCUAGAAAAUGUUAAAUGCUGUAUAUUCCCUCUGUUUUGAAUUAACACUGUGUUUUCACUGUGUGUGAAAGUUAUUUCAUUUGGCCAAAUGGCAUCUGAUUUCUAAUCUUCACAAUCUGCACAUCGCAGCAGUCUUAGAAUCUACUGUGUCACACCACACAGGCUUACAGCACAUUCUGCAUUUUUGCUUGAUUACUUGAGAAAGUAAAUAACUUACCUGUGAACCUAAAAUAGUGGAGUAAAAUGACU
Molecule: long non-coding RNA, 544 nt
Organism: Engraulis encrasicolus (European anchovy)
Lineage: Eukaryota; Metazoa; Chordata; Actinopteri; Clupeiformes; Engraulidae
Exons: 3
Source: RefSeq, a predicted model, not a curated record